GACGAACGCUGGCGGCGUGCUUAACACAUGCAAGUCGAACGGAAAGGCCCUGCUUUUGUGGGGUGCUCGAGUGGCGAACGGGUGAGUAACACGUGAGUAACCUGCCCUUGACUUUGGGAUAACUUCAGGAAACUGGGGCUAAUACCGGAUAGGAGCUCCUGCUGCAUGGUGGGGGUUGGAAAGUUUCGGCGGUUGGGGAUGGACUCGCGGCUUAUCAGCUUGUUGGUGGGGUAGUGGCUUACCAAGGCUUUGACGGGUAGCCGGCCUGAGAGGGUGACCGGCGACAUUGGGACUGAGAUACGGCGCAGACUGCUACGGGAGGCAGCAGUGGGGAAUAUUGCACAAUGGGCGGAAGCCUGAUGCAGCAACGCCGCGUGCGGGAUGACGGCCUUCGGGUUGUAAACCGCUUUCGCCUGUGACGAAGCGUGAGUGACGGUAAUGGGUAAAGAAGCACCGGCUAACUACGUG
RNAcentral lists this ribosomal RNA (468 nucleotides) under uncultured bacterium. RNAcentral's name for it is "partial 16S ribosomal RNA". It matches the Rfam family "Bacterial small subunit ribosomal RNA", at positions 28 to 507 of the family's 1533-position model. The record is from RNAcentral.